Molecule: ribosomal RNA, 1336 nt
Filed under: Curtobacterium flaccumfaciens
Lineage: Bacteria; Bacillati; Actinomycetota; Actinomycetes; Micrococcales; Microbacteriaceae
Description: bacterial SSU rRNA
Rfam family: Bacterial small subunit ribosomal RNA
Source: RNAcentral
GCUGGGUGGAUUAGUGGCGAACGGGUGAGUAACACGUGAGUAACCUGCCCCUGACUCUGGGAUAAGCGUUGGAAACGACGUCUAAUACUGGAUAUGACCGCCGAUCGCAUGGUCUGGUGGUGGAAAGAUUUUUUGGUUGGGGAUGGACUCGCGGCCUAUCAGCUUGUUGGUGAGGUAAUGGCUCACCAAGGCGACGACGGGUAGCCGGCCUGAGAGGGUGACCGGCCACACUGGGACUGAGACACGGCCCAGACUCCUACGGGAGGCAGCAGUGGGGAAUAUUGCACAAUGGGCGAAAGCCUGAUGCAGCAACGCCGCGUGAGGGAUGACGGCCUUCGGGUUGUAAACCUCUUUUAGUAGGGAAGAAGCGUAAGUGACGGUACCUGCAGAAAAAGCACCGGCUAACUACGUGCCAGCAGCCGCGGUAAUACGUAGGGUGCAAGCGUUGUCCGGAAUUAUUGGGCGUAAAGAGCUCGUAGGCGGUUUGUCGCGUCUGCUGUGAAAUCCCGAGGCUCAACCUCGGGCUUGCAGGUGGGUACGGGCAGACUAGAGUGCGGUAGGGGAGAUUGGAAUUCCUGGGUGUAGCGGUGGAAUGCGCAGAUAUCAGGAGGAACACCGAUGGCGAAGGCAGAUCUCUGGGCCGUAACUGACGCUGAGGAGCGAAAGCGUGGGGAGCGAACAGGAUUAGAUACCCUGGUAGUCCACGCCGUAAACGUUGGGCGCUAGAUGUAGGGACCUUUCCACGGUUUCUGUGUCGUAGCUAACGCAUUAAGCGCCCCGCCUGGGGAGUACGGCCGCAAGGCUAAAACUCAAAGGAAUUGACGGGGGCCCGCACAAGCGGCGGAGCAUGCGGAUUAAUUCGAUGCAACGCGAAGAACCUUACCAAGGCUUGACAUACACCGGAAACGGCCAGAGAUGGUUGCCCCCUUGUGGUCGGUGUACAGGUGGUGCAUGGUUGUCGUCAGCUCGUGUCGUGAGAUGUUGGGUUAAGUCCCGCAACGAGCGCAACCCUCGUUCUAUGUUGCCAGCGCGUUAUGGCGGGGACUCAUAGGAGACUGCCGGGGUCAACUCGGAGGAAGGUGGGGAUGACGUCAAAUCAUCAUGCCCCUUAUGUCUUGGGCUUCACGCAUGCUACAAUGGCCGGUACAAAGGGCUGCGAUACCGUAAGGUGGAGCGAAUCCCAAAAAGCCGGUCUCAGUUCGGAUUGAGGUCUGCAACUCGACCUCAUGAAGUCGGAGUCGCUAGUAAUCGCAGAUCAGCAACGCUGCGGUGAAUACGUUCCCGGGCCUUGUACACACCGCCCGUCAAGUCAUGAAAGUCGGUAACACCCGAAGCC